RNAcentral lists this ribosomal RNA (478 nucleotides) under uncultured bacterium. RNAcentral's name for it is "partial 16S ribosomal RNA". It matches the Rfam family "Bacterial small subunit ribosomal RNA", at positions 28 to 523 of the family's 1533-position model. The record is from RNAcentral.
GACGAACGCUGGCGGCGUGCUUAACACAUGCAAGUCGAACGGUAAGGCCCUUCGGGGUACACGAGUGGCGAACGGGUGAGUAACACGUGGGUGAUCUGCCCUGCACUUCGGGAUAAGCCUGGGAAACUGGGUCUAAUACCGGAUAGGACUCCGGACUGCAUGGUCUGGGGUGGAAAGCUUUUGCGGUGUGGGAUGGGCCCGCGGCCUAUCAGCUGGUUGGUGGGGUGAUGGCCUAGCAAGGCUACGACGGGUAGCGGGCCUGAGAGGGUGACCGGUCACACUGGGACUGAGAUACGGGCCAGACUCCUACGGGAGGCAGCAGUGGGGAAUAUUGCACAAUGGGCGCAAGCCUGAUGCAGCGACGCCGUGUGAGGGAUGACGGCCUUCGGGUUGUAAACCUCUUUCAGCAUCGACGAAGCGAAAGUGACGGUAGGUGCAGAAGAAGGACCGGCCAACUACGUGCCAGCAGCCGCCGUAA